GUCCACGCCGUAAACGAUGUCGACUAGCCGUUGGCCCUCUAUACAGGGUUAGUGGCGCAGCUAACGCAUUAAGUCGACCGCCUGGGGGAGUACGGCCGCAAGGUUAAAACUCAAAUGAAUUGACGGGGGCCCGCACAAGCGGUGGAGCAUGUGGUUUAAUUCGAUGCAACGCGAAGAACCUUACCUACCCUUGACAUCCAAUGAAUUCGGCAGAGAUGCCUUAGUGCCUUCGGGAGCAUUGAGACAGGUGCUGCAUGGCUGUCGU
This 265-nucleotide ribosomal RNA is filed under the name uncultured bacterium. Its description in RNAcentral is "partial 16S ribosomal RNA". It matches the Rfam family "Bacterial small subunit ribosomal RNA", at positions 793 to 1055 of the family's 1533-position model. The record is from RNAcentral.